UUAAGUUAUUAAGGGCGCACGGUGGAUGCCUUGGCACUAGAAGCCGAUGAAGGACUAUUACUAACGACGAUAUGCUUUGGGGAGCUGUAAGUAAGCUUUGAUCCAGAGAUUUCCGAAUGGGGAAACCCAGCAUGAGUUAUGUCAUGUUAUCGAUAUGUGAAUACAUAGCAUAUCAGAAGGCACACCCGGAGAACUGAAACAUCUUAGUACCCGGAGGAAGAGAAAGAAAAUUCGAUUCCCUUAGUAGCGGCGAGCGAAACGGGAAGAGCCCAAACCAACAAGCUUGCUUGUUGGGGUUGUAGGACACUCUAUACGGAGUUACAAAGGACGACAUUAGACGAAUCAUCUGGAAAGAUGAAUCAAAGAAGGUAAUAAUCCUGUAGUCGAAAAUGUUGUCUCUCUUGAGUGGAUCCUGAGUACGACGGAGCACGUGAAAUUCCGUCGGAAUCUGGGAGGACCAUCUCCUAAGGCUAAAUACUCUCUAGUGACCGAUAGUGAACCAGUACCGUGAGGGAAAGGUGAAAAGCACCCCGGAAGGGGAGUGAAAUAGAACCUGAAACCGUGUGCUUACAAGUAGUCAGAGCCCGUUAAUGGGUGAUGGCGUGCCUUUUGUAGAAUGAACCGGCGAGUUACGAUUUGAUGCAAGGUUAAGCAGUAAAUGUGGAGCCGUAGCGAAAGCGAGUCUGAAUAGGGCGUUUAGUAUUUGGUCGUAGACCCGAAACCAGGUGAUCUACCCUUGGUCAGGUUGAAGUUCAGGUAACACUGAAUGGAGGACCGAACCGACUUACGUUGAAAAGUGAGCGGAUGAACUGAGGGUAGCGGAGAAAUUCCAAUCGAACCUGGAGAUAGCUGGUUCUCUCCGAAAUAGCUUUAGGGCUAGCCUCAAGUGAUGAUUAUUGGAGGUAGAGCACUGUUUGGACGAGGGGCCCCUCUCGGGUUACCGAAUUCAGACAAACUCCGAAUGCCAAUUAAUUUAACUUGGGAGUCAGAACAUGGGUGAUAAGGUCCGUGUUCGAAAGGGAAACAGCCCAGACCACCAGCUAAGGUCCCAAAAUAUAUGUUAAGUGGAAAAGGAUGUGGCGUUGCCCAGACAACUAGGAUGUUGGCUUAGAAGCAGCCAUCAUUUAAAGAGUGCGUAAUAGCUCACUAGUCGAGUGACACUGCGCCGAAAAUGUACCGGGGCUAAACAUAUUACCGAAGCUGUGGAUUGUCCUUUGGACAAUGGUAGGAGAGCGUUCUAAGGGCGUUGAAGCAUGAUCGUAAGGACAUGUGGAGCGCUUAGAAGUGAGAAUGCCGGUGUGAGUAGCGAAAGACGGGUGAGAAUCCCGUCCACCGAUUGACUAAGGUUUCCAGAGGAAGGCUCGUCCGCUCUGGGUUAGUCGGGUCCUAAGCUGAGGCCGACAGGCGUAGGCGAUGGAUAACAGGUUGAUAUUCCUGUACCACCUAUAAUCGUUUUAAUCGAUGGGGGGGAAGCAGUAGGAUAGGCGAAGCGUGCGAUUGGAUUGCACGUCUAAGCAGUAAGGCUGAGUAUUAGGCAAAUCCGGUACUCGUUAAGGCUGAGCUGUGAUGGGGAGAAGACAUUGUGUCUUCGAGUCGUUGAUUUCACACUGCCGAGAAAAGCCUCUAGAUAGAAAAUAGGUGCCCGUACCGCAAACCGACACAGGUAGUCAAGAUGAGAAUUCUAAGGUGAGCGAGCGAACUCUCGUUAAGGAACUCGGCAAAAUGACCCCGUAACUUCGGGAGAAGGGGUGCUCUUUAGGGUUAACGCCCAGAAGAGCCGCAGUGAAUAGGCCCAAGCGACUGUUUAUCAAAAACACAGGUCUCUGCUAAACCGUAAGGUGAUGUAUAGGGGCUGACGCCUGCCCGGUGCUGGAAGGUUAAGAGGAGUGGUUAGCUUCUGCGAAGCUACGAAUCGAAGCCCCAGUAAACGGCGGCCGUAACUAUAACGGUCCUAAGGUAGCGAAAUUCCUUGUCGGGUAAGUUCCGACCCGCACGAAAGGCGUAACGAUUUGGGCACUGUCUCAACGAGAGACUCGGUGAAAUCAUAGUACCUGUGAAGAUGCAGGUUACCCGCGACAGGACGGAAAGACCCCGUGGAGCUUUACUGUAGCCUGAUAUUGAAAUUCGGCACAGCUUGUACAGGAUAGGUAGGAGCCUUUGAAACGUGAGCGCUAGCUUACGUGGAGGCGCUGGUGGGAUACUACCCUAGCUGUGUUGGCUUUCUAACCCGCACCACUUAUCGUGGUGGGAGACAGUGUCAGGCGGGCAGUUUGACUGGGGCGGUCGCCUCCUAAAAGGUAACGGAGGCGCUCAAAGGUUCCCUCAGAAUGGUUGGAAAUCAUUCAUAGAGUGUAAAGGCAUAAGGGAGCUUGACUGCGAGACCUACAAGUCGAGCAGGGUCGAAAGACGGACUUAGUGAUCCGGUGGUUCCGCAUGGAAGGGCCAUCGCUCAACGGAUAAAAGCUACCCCGGGGAUAACAGGCUUAUCUCCCCCAAGAGUUCACAUCGACGGGGAGGUUUGGCACCUCGAUGUCGGCUCAUCGCAUCCUGGGGCUGUAGUCGGUCCCAAGGGUUGGGCUGUUCGCCCAUUAAAGCGGUACGCGAGCUGGGUUCAGAACGUCGUGAGACAGUUCGGUCCCUAUCCGUCGUGGGCGUAGGAAAUUUGAGAGGAGCUGUCCUUAGUACGAGAGGACCGGGAUGGACAUACCUCUGGUGUACCAGUUGUCGUGCCAACGGCAUAGCUGGGUAGCUAUGUGUGGACGGGAUAAGUGCUGAAAGCAUCUAAGCAUGAAGCCCCCCUCAAGAUGAGAUUUCCCAACUUCGGUUAUAAGAUCCCUCAAAGAUGAUGAGGUUAAUAGGUUCGAGGUGGAAGCAUGGUGACAUGUGGAGCUGACGAAUACUAAUCGAUCGAAGACUUAAUCAA
This 2923-nucleotide ribosomal RNA is filed under the name Staphylococcus aureus. Its description in RNAcentral is "bacterial LSU rRNA". It matches the Rfam family "Bacterial large subunit ribosomal RNA". Lineage: Bacteria; Bacillati; Bacillota; Bacilli; Caryophanales; Staphylococcaceae. The record is from RNAcentral.